This 449-nucleotide ribosomal RNA is filed under the name uncultured bacterium. RNAcentral's name for it is "bacterial SSU rRNA". It matches the Rfam family "Bacterial small subunit ribosomal RNA", at positions 331 to 794 of the family's 1533-position model. The record is from RNAcentral.
CCAGACUCCUACGGGAGGCAGCAGUGGGGGAUAUUGCACAAUGGGGGAAACCCUGAUGCAGCGACGCCGCGUGGGCGAAGAAGUAUUUCGGUAUGUAAAGCCCUAUCAGCAGGGAAGAAGAAAUGACGGUACCUGAGUAAGAAGCACCGGCUAAAUACGUGCCAGCAGCCGCGGUAAUACGUAUGGUGCAAGCGUUAUCCGGAUUUACUGGGUGUAAAGGGAGUGCAGGCGGCACGGCAAGCCUGGUGUGAAAGCCCGCGGCCCAACCGCGGGACUGCAUUGGGAACUACCGGGCUGGAGUGCCGGAGAGGUAGGCGGAAUUCCUAGUGUAGCGGUGAAAUGCGUAGAUAUCAGGAGGAACACCGGUGGCGAAGGCGGCCUGCUGGACUGCAACUGACGUUGAGGCCCGAAAGCGUGGGGAGCAAACAGGAUUAGAUACCCCUGUAAGU